AUGCUAUCCAGUGACCACCCUUCAGGCCCCUCGUGCUCCUCCCAGUCUGUGGUUCGGGUUGUGGGUGCUGAUCCAGCGACGUUCCACGCCGCCGACUCUCCGGAGUCGGCACACCAAGAUCCUGCGGAUCUUGUCCAACCGUGUCCCACCUUCUCCAUAAGAGAUUAUGUUUUUGAUUCGAGGAGCAAAGGCAUCAAGAGAAGUUGGCCUUUCCACCCGCAGUCACUGGAACUUUGCUUGAAGCGUGGAGUUAAAGAUCUACUGCCUCCAUUCGAGCCUCCCGAUUUGCUCCGGUCAAGGUCUUUCUAUACUUGCGUAGACUCUGAGCAGUCUGCUGCAUGCCUAGAAGCCGAUGCUUUUGUUGAUUUGGUAAAGGCUAGAGAAGCUGGUUUGACAAAUGUGAAUACAACUGGUAUCAACCUCCAGUCAUGUCAAUCAGCAGAUGAGUCACUUGGUCCAUCUCAAUACACUCCUACAGAGGGUGGGAAGACUGCUACUGACCAAGGUGGAAAUAUAAAUGAAUUAGGCCAUACUAGUAAGGCUAUACAAGCAUAUCAGGAAGAUAAUAUUUGCACCAAAGCAAGUUCGGGGACAGAGGUUGCUCGACCCUAUUUGAAAAGUCUUGGCUCAUCACGUGAGACUUCAGAAAAGAAGGGCAAGUUGCUAGUCAAGUCAGGCUCUAUGACAGAUAUCCGUCAGAGAAAAGAUUUAUCAUACAACUCUAGCUCGGUUUCGAAUCCAAAGGCUUCAAAUACCUGUCCUGUUUGCAAAGUCUUCUCUUCUCCAUCAAAUACCACUUUGAAUGCACACAUAGAUCAGUGCCUUUAUGCUGUGUCUAAUGCCGAGCCAGUAGUAGAGACGGUUAUUGUGAAGCCAAAAGUGAAGCAGAGGAAGAUGCAACUGAUGGUGGACAUUUACAAGACAGCCCUUCCAUACACUCUUGAUGACCUUGAUCGGAGGAACGGGACUAACUGGGCUAUCGAUUUGUCUGUGCCAGCUGUGAACAAGGUGCUUUGCACUAAGAACCGUAGCCCACGAGUGGUACCAUCUGAAGCAAAAGAUAGUGAAAGAGAUAGUGAUGUCUAUGUUGAUUCAAAUGGCAUAAAAAUCAGAAUUUUAUCCAAGCCUAUCGGUGCACCCUUGGUCUUGGGCAAUGAUGGUUUAAAGCAAGUUGAAAAGCACCAGACUGGAAAGAGUACAUUGAUGAAAAAGACAUCCUUGGAAUCUAAAUCAUUUAGGAAUAAAAAGUUCAAGGUACAUGGAAAGAAGUGCAACCGACUAAACCAUUUGAAAUCUCAGGUUGAAUUAUACCCAGAUGGGGAUAUCCAUGCUGACACCUCUGAGGAGGAGCUGGCCAUGCAUACACAGAAACCUACUGAAAGCAGCAGUUGUGGUCGUUCGGGAACUAUAAGGCAAUGGGUGUGCUCCAAACGUUCGGGUAUCACUAACAAUUUGAGCAGAAAGUCAAAUAAUAUAUUGUCAGAUAGCAUGAAACCUGGAACAAAGAAAUUGGCUAGGAGCCGCAUGAUUGGUGGCUUUGAUGAUCCUCAAAUUACAGGAAGUUAUACUGAGGCAUUUUCUUCACGGUCAACAGAAGAGACAGCCACCACUUUGGAAGUCAAUGAAAAUGAUGAUCAUGAAAAGGGUUCUUCAAGAUUAUUCAGAUCAAUUCCCAGAUGGUCAUCAGAAAAUCCUUCAUCCAGCAGUGCCUUCCCAAAAGUACCUAGAUCAGCUGCUACUCUUGCGAAGAGAAAAAUUAAGGAGAUUGGAAGAAGAGAAGCUUCUAGGUCUGAUAAGUAUGAUACAGUGAGGAAUUCCACCUCGACAAAAUGCUCUGAACCUUGUCUUUCUGUUUCCAUUAGAGGUCUGAGUAAUGACUCAAAGAGGACAGUGUCUACUUCUAAGGUGUUAAGAAAGCACAGAUCUGUAUCGAGGACUCGCAAGCGUGACUUUUCACCUUCUAUUAGUGGGCUAGUCAAUGAUUUUGGUCAAGAGCAUGAACUUGAUCACAGACAUGUAAACAAUACCUUCAGCGUUACUAAUAAUGGCACAUCCGAUAAGGUUGUAAAGCAUACCCAAGAAGAUACCACAGAUAAUGAUAUCUCUUAUGGAACUGACAUGCCGGCAUUGGGGCAAGGGGAUCAUCAGCAUGAUGUGACACAACAAACAACAAGUACGCAUAUGGAUUCUGAAGGUGAAGAACAUGCAACUCAAAUGCAAUGUACCUCGGUCUCCAGAAAUACUCACGAGGACUGUUGCAGUGCAAUAAGUAGUGGUUCUUUGAGUCUUGAAAAUAGCAAAACUGUGCCCAAAGGAAGUUCAUCAAUGCAGGAUCAAUGCUCCACUAAGCAAUCCACACAUCAUACUCAUGUGUCAAACAUUGUUACCAAUAAUGAGAUGGAGGAAUGUCAGGUAGACCCAGCUUCAACUAAGGAAUCUAGCACCUGCUUAACUAAUAACAGGGAAAUGGGUCUUGCAACUCCUCGGGAUAACUCGUCAAUAACGUCGAACAGAGAAGACUCUAACCAAGAUCAUGUUUUUUUGGCAUUUGGUCGGGACUCAUCAGACUCUCCUAUUUCGGUUGCCUCAACUAUGUCUUCUCCAGUUGCUUUGAAUGGUUCAAGAAAUGAAGAGUCAGGACCAGGCCAAUCGACCGUAAAUGUUAGGACACUUGAAAAGAGCAUGUCUGGGAGCUCAAAUCAGGAGACGAAGUCGAUGCCUCCAGCAAGAGAAGGUGACCAGUUGGCUAAGGAGAAGUUGUAUUGCUGCUCUUGUCGUGAGAGCAUCUCCAGGGAGCCUCACUUAGACCAUGAAAGUUCAACAGCCAGAUCAGACACUUUUGCUAGAAAACAAGUUCCACAAUUGCACAUGGGUUUACGGACAUCAUCAUCUUUCAGCACAUACCAAAGAACAGACACAAAUUCAAACCCUUACUUAGAUUCACAUGGUCAGCUAUUAACUGGCAAAGUUAUAACUGAAUCUUCCAUGAGCUCCCUGUCUUAUGCGACAGAUUGUAUCAGACCAGCAUUGCAAACUCAACUUCCAUCGCCGCCAAGUCCUAUGUUGAGACUGAUGGGCAAGAACUUGAUGGUGAUGAACAGCCAGGAGAGUGGGCGUCCUCAAGCUCCAAAGCCAGACUACAUGCUGGGAGGGAAUUACAUGCCACCUGCUAGUUUUGUGCCUCCAGACUACCAACAUAGUCAUUCUGCAUUGAUCGACAGAACUCCAUCAGCAAGGAGUCACCAGAUUCCUCUUCCAAGUGUUCAAGCUAGCAACUUUGUUGGGCCUCCAAUGCAUGGUGGUUUCAUGGUGCAAUCUAAUCAUCAUUCUCUGCAGAAACCAUACAGGAACCCUGCUCCAGUCAUGCAUCACCCUACCUACAUGAUGAAAGAGGUUAUCAUGAUUAAUGACGAUCCUCCUGAAUGCAGAAGUGAGCCACAAGUCAGUAUGCAUCCUCCCACUGGAACCUAUCCAACAUCAAUCUCCGUCCCAAACAAUUUUGGGCCCAGGCCAUUUUACUGCCAUCCACCGCCGAUGCAAAUUUUGCCAAGGGAGAAUUUUGCUGGAUCAAUGCCUGUUUUCCCAAUGUUUGGUGCUCAAAGGCAGCAAGUCAGAUAUAGCCAAUCCUUACAUCUCACCCCGUCUCGCGUCCAGCCUCCACAAGGUUACAUAAACCCACAUGUUUACUAUCCGCAGGAUUUACGGUGA
Molecule: ribosomal RNA, 3708 nt
Filed under: Triticum aestivum (bread wheat)
Lineage: Eukaryota; Viridiplantae; Streptophyta; Magnoliopsida; Poales; Poaceae
Description: partial small subunit ribosomal RNA
Source: RNAcentral